This 76-nucleotide transfer RNA is filed under the name Ipomoea nil (Japanese morning glory). It matches the Rfam family "tRNA". Rfam says of the family: Transfer RNA (tRNA) molecules are approximately 80 nucleotides in length. Their secondary structure includes four short double-helical elements and three loops (D, anti-codon, and T loops). The record is from Rfam by way of RNAcentral. Lineage: Eukaryota; Viridiplantae; Streptophyta; Magnoliopsida; Solanales; Convolvulaceae.
GAUGGUUUGGCCGAGUGGUCUAAGGCGCCAGAUUUAGGCUCUGGCGAAAGGCGUGGGUUCAAAUCCCACAGUGUCA